Molecule: ribosomal RNA, 434 nt
Filed under: uncultured bacterium
Lineage: Bacteria
Description: partial 16S ribosomal RNA
Rfam family: Bacterial small subunit ribosomal RNA
Source: RNAcentral
AGCGAACGCUGGCGGCAGGCCUAACACAUGCAAGUCGAACGAACCUUUCGGGGUUAGUGGCGGACGGGUGAGUAACACGUGGGAACGUGCCUUUAGGUUCGGAAUAACUCAGGGAAACUGGUGCUAAUACCGAAUGUGCCCUUCGGGGGAAAGAUUUAUCGCCUUUAGAGCGGCCCGCGUCUGAUUAGCUAGUUGGUUGAGGUAAUGGCUCACCAAGGCGACGAUCAGUGGCUGGUCUGAGAGGAUGAUCAGCCACAUUGGGACUGAGACACGGCCCAAACUCCUACGGGAGGCAGCAGUGGGGAAUCUUGCGCAAUGGGCGAAAGCCUGACGCAGCCAUGCCGCGUGAAUGAUGAAGGGCUUAGGAUUGUAAAAUUCUUUCACCGGGGACGAUAAUGACGGUACCCGGAGAAGAAGCCCCGGCUAACUUCGUG